GACAGAGGGUGCAAACGUUGUUCGGAAUUACUGGGCGUAAAGCGAGUGUAGGCGGUGUGGUAAGUCGGAUGUGAAAGCCCCCGGGCUCAACCCGGGAAGUGCACUCGAUACUGCCACGCUAGAGUAUCGGAGAGGUUGGUGGAAUUCUCGGUGUAGAGGUGAAAUUCGUAGAUAUCGAGAGGAACACCGGUGGCGAAGGCGGCCAACUGGACGAAUACUGACGCUGAGGCGCGAAAGCGUGGGGGAGCAAACAGG
RNAcentral lists this ribosomal RNA (255 nucleotides) under uncultured bacterium. RNAcentral describes it as "partial 16S ribosomal RNA". It matches the Rfam family "Bacterial small subunit ribosomal RNA", at positions 524 to 776 of the family's 1533-position model. The record is from RNAcentral.